GUGUGGCUGAAGGGCUGGUUAAUGAAGAUAUCCUCAAGCCAUUGGUAAGGGAGCACUCAGAGCUGCAAUGUUGUGAAAAUCAGUGCAAGUAUAUUUUCGUGAAGAUUGAGGUGAGAACUUGGCGAAGGAGCAGAUUACCCCAUAUCAUCCUGCUUCUGAGUUUGGUGCACCUUUUUCGGAGGCAUCUGGUGCUGGAAACUGUCAGGAUUUUGGACUAGACAGACUCUGAGUGGAAGCACAUGCUCCUGGACAGCAACUGAAAAGUGAAUGGUACCGUACUCAGGCACCCAAACAUGAAUUCGUCCUUGCUGUAAUUGGUCCAGAUGAGAUUCCAAUAGAUGCACUUUUUACUUUAUUCUGAUGAUUUAUUUCCCCCUAUCUGCUUAUAAAUGCAGGUUUGCGUGUUCCAAG
Long non-coding RNA from Mauremys reevesii (Reeves's turtle), 411 nucleotides. RefSeq lists it as uncharacterized. The record is from RefSeq and is a predicted model, not a curated record. The transcript has 6 exons. NCBI's taxonomy places the organism in Eukaryota, Metazoa, Chordata, Testudines, Geoemydidae.